This 397-nucleotide ribosomal RNA is filed under the name uncultured bacterium. RNAcentral describes it as "partial 16S ribosomal RNA". It matches the Rfam family "Bacterial small subunit ribosomal RNA", at positions 338 to 732 of the family's 1533-position model. The record is from RNAcentral.
CCUACGGGGGGCAGCAGUGAGGAAUAUUGGUCAAUGGGCGCAAGCCUGAACCAGCCAAGCCGCGUGAAGGAUGACUGCCCUACGGGUUGUAAACUUCUUUUGUCAAGGAAUAAAGUGAGGCUCGUGUGCCUUUUUGUCUGUACUUUAUGAAUAAGGAUCGGCUAACUCCGUGCCAGCAGCCGCGGUAAUACGGAGGAGCCGAGCGUUAUCCGGAUUUAUUGGGUUUAAAGGGUGCGUAGCGGGGUCGUUAAGUCAGUUGUGAAAUGUUGCGGCUCAACCGUAGAAUUGCAUUUGAUACUGGCAGUCUUGAGUAGAGUAGAGGUAGGCGGAAUUCGCGGUGUAGCGGUGAAAUGCUUAGAUAUCACGAAGAACUCCGAUUGCGAAGGCAGCUUACUAA